RNAcentral lists this ribosomal RNA (1343 nucleotides) under Escherichia coli. Its description in RNAcentral is "partial 23S ribosomal RNA". It matches the Rfam family "Bacterial large subunit ribosomal RNA", at positions 193 to 1578 of the family's 2925-position model. The record is from RNAcentral. Lineage: Bacteria; Pseudomonadati; Pseudomonadota; Gammaproteobacteria; Enterobacterales; Enterobacteriaceae.
CUGAAACAUCUAAGUACCCCGAGGAAAAGAAAUCAACCGAGAUUCCCCCAGUAGCGGCGAGCGAACGGGGAGCAGCCCAGAGCCUGAAUCAGUAUGUGUGUUAGUGGAAGCGUCUGGAAAGGCGCGCGAUACAGGGUGACAGCCCCGUACACAAAAAUGCACAUGCUGUGAGCUCGAUGAGUAGGGCGGGACACGUGGUAUCCUGUCUGAAUAUGGGGGGACCAUCCUCCAAGGCUAAAUACUCCUGACUGACCGAUAGUGAACCAGUACCGUGAGGGAAAGGCGAAAAGAACCCCGGCGAGGGGAGUGAAAAAGAACCUGAAACCGUGUACGUACAAGCAGUGGGAGCACGCUUAGGCGUGUGACUGCGUACCUUUUGUAUAAUGGGUCAGCGACUUAUAUUCUGUAGCAAGGUUAACCGAAUAGGGGAGCCGAAGGGAAACCGAGUCUUAACUGGGCGUUAAGUUGCAGGGUAUAGACCCGAAACCCGGUGAUCUAGCCAUGGGCAGGUUGAAGGUUGGGUAACACUAACUGGAGGACCGAACCGACUAAUGUUGAAAAAUUAGCGGAUGACUUGUGGCUGGGGGUGAAAGGCCAAUCAAACCGGGAGAUAGCUGGUUCUCCCCGAAAGCUAUUUAGGUAGCGCCUCGUGAAUUCAUCUCCGGGGGUAGAGCACUGUUUCGGCAAGGGGGUCAUCCCGACUUACCAACCCGAUGCAAACUGCGAAUACCGGAGAAUGUUAUCACGGGAGACACACGGCGGGUGCUAACGUCCGUCGUGAAGAGGGAAACAACCCAGACCGCCAGCUAAGGUCCCAAAGUCAUGGUUAAGUGGGAAACGAUGUGGGAAGGCCCAGACAGCCAGGAUGUUGGCUUAGAAGCAGCCAUCAUUUAAAGAAAGCGUAAUAGCUCACUGGUCGAGUCGGCCUGCGCGGAAGAUGUAACGGGGCUAAACCAUGCACCGAAGCUGCGGCAGCGACGCUGAUGCGUUGUUGGGUAGGGGAGCGUUCUGUAAGCCUGCGAAGGUGUGCUGUGAGGCAUGCUGGAGGUAUCAGAAGUGCGAAUGCUGACAUAAGUAACGAUAAAGCGGGUGAAAAGCCCGCUCGCCGGAAGACCAAGGGUUCCUGUCCAACGUUAAUCGGGGCAGGGUGAGUCGACCCCUAAGGCGAGGCCGAAAGGCGUAGUCGAUGGGAAACAGGUUAAUAUUCCUGUACUUGGUGUUACUGCGAAGGGGGGACGGAGAAGGCUAUGUUGGCCGGGCGACGGUUGUCCCGGUUUAAGCGUGUAGGCUGGUUUUCCAGGCAAAUCCGGAAAAUCAAGGCUGAGGCGUGAUGACGAGGCACU